GUACACGCUGUGACUAGCAUAUCAAUAAGCGGAGGAAAAGAAACUAACAAGGAUUCCCCUAGUAACGGCGAGUGAAGCGGGAAGAGCUCAAAUUUGAAAUCUUAAAGGGUUUCCCUUUACGAAUUGUAGUUUAAAGAAGUGUUUUCUGUUGAGGUUUUGGUAAAAGUUCUUUGGAAUAGGACAUCAUAGAGGGUGAGAAUCCCGUAUUUGACCUUUACUUUCAACUUUGUGAUACACUUUCAAAGAGUCGGAUUGUUUGGGAAUGCAGUCCAAAAUGGGUGGUAAAUUUCAUCUAAAGCUAAAUAUUGGCGAGAGACCGAUAGCGAACAAGUACCGUGAGGGAAAGAUGAAAAGAACUUUGAAAAGAGAGUUAAACAGUACGUGAAAUUGUCAAAAGGGAAGCGUUUGACACCAGUGUUGUUUUUCUGAAAAUCAAUUAAAGAACUGUUUAUGCUAAGUUGUUUAGACUUUAUCAGCUAACUGUUUAGUUUUGAGCUUUUCUUUAAUGCACUUUUCAGUUAACAAGUCAACAUCAAUUUCUUUUGCUGUAAAAAAGCUUGAGGAAGGUGGCUUGAGAUUCGUCUUAAGUGUUUAUAGCCUCUUGCCUAUGCAGUCGGAGAGAUUGAGGUCUGCAGCGUAGAUCCUUCGGGGCUAAAUGCAUUUGUGCUAAGUUAUAGCAUUUUAUAGACAACUUGUUGACUAUGAUUUGUCUUGUAGCUUACUCGCUUAUGUUAUUUUACCUACGCUUAGGAUGUUGACGAGACUGUCGAUCUC
Molecule: ribosomal RNA, 774 nt
Filed under: uncultured Neocallimastigales
Lineage: Eukaryota; Fungi; Neocallimastigomycota; Neocallimastigomycetes; Neocallimastigales
Description: partial large subunit ribosomal RNA
Rfam family: Eukaryotic large subunit ribosomal RNA
Source: RNAcentral